RNAcentral lists this ribosomal RNA (434 nucleotides) under uncultured Roseburia sp. RNAcentral's name for it is "partial 16S ribosomal RNA". It matches the Rfam family "Bacterial small subunit ribosomal RNA", at positions 341 to 792 of the family's 1533-position model. The record is from RNAcentral. Lineage: Bacteria; Bacillati; Bacillota; Clostridia; Lachnospirales; Lachnospiraceae.
ACGGGAGGCAGCAGUGGGGAAUAUUGGACAAUGGAGGAAACUCUGAUCCAGCGACGCCGCGUGAGUGAAGAAGUAUUUCGGUAUGUAAAGCUCUAUCAGCAGGGAAGAUAAUGACGGUACCUGACUAAGAAGCACCGGCUAAAUACGUGCCAGCAGCCGCGGUAAUACGUAUGGUGCAAGCGUUAUCCGGAUUUACUGGGUGUAAAGGGAGCGCAGGCGGUACGGCAAGUCUGAUGUGAAAGCCCGGGGCUCAACCCCGGUACUGCAUUGGAAACUGUCGAACUAGAGUGUCGGAGGGGUAAGUGGAAUUCCUAGUGUAGCGGUGAAAUGCGUAGAUAUUAGGAGAAACACCAGUGGCGAAGGCGGCUUACUGGACGACAACUGACGCUGAGGCUCGAAAGCGUGGGGAGCAAACAGGAUUAGAUACCCUGGUA